UUUCCAAGCGGCUCCCGCCGGGGGUGAGGGGCGGGGUGUUCGGCGAAUUUGGACACGCGGUUGAUCCGGUCCAAGAGGAAACGUGCUCUCGCCUUCCGCUGGCUGCCGACCCUGGCCAUCGCGAUGGGUGAUCCAGGUGGCUCAGCAGAGGCUGCAGCAGUAACCAGCGGCCCUUUGGUCCGGACAGGAACGUCUGCGGCCCCUCGCUUAUCAGCUGGGGUCGGACGGAGGAUACGGAGGGAUUGGGCCACACGCAGCCGCCGAAAUCGGCCCGAAGGAUGGCGAGAGGGCGCGGGGCCUGCAGAAGAGCGCUGCGUUGCCCUCUGGCGGGUUUUCUGGAUCCUGUAAGCAACCAGUGAAGCUGUCCUUUUACGACACCUUUUAUUACUCUCUUCCCAGGGUCGCGAAGCAAACGGAAGAUGCCUCCUGCUCCUUGGAUGGGUUUUCCAGGUGACCCCGGUUUGGAUGACCUAGGUCAGUUUCCUGGAAGAUUAGUGCUGUGCUGCAUGAAAAUCUGGUUUCAUUUCUGCUGGUUAUGUGUCAUUGUUUCGGCUUAGGGCCUUCCAGGUUGGUUGGUUGGUGGCGUCUUUCCUCGAGACACAGGGUCUUAUGUAGUCCAGGCCCGCUUUGAGCUCAUCAUGCAGCCCGGGCUCGCCUCAGACCCACAGUGGCCCUCUUGUCUCAGAGCUGAGAUUGCAGCGUGCAGCGCUGCGCCCAGCUUGCUUUAAUGCUUCACCACAUACUUUUGCUGGAGGGCUGUGUUAAGUGCAUAUAAAUAAACUUGGUCCAACCCCAAGGUUUGUGCAAUCUGAUUCCUAAGCCGUGUGGCUUCCACUGCUGAGAUACACACACAGCACCAGCUGUUUUGGAGAGUGACUUAGCCACCCACAGUGUAGGCCCUGAAGGCACUCUGUGUCUUUAGGGAACGUGAACUGUUGGGAGAUGGCAGUGCGUAGGGGCAGAUGGCCAGGAUCUUGGGACAACCCAUAGGGGUGCCCCCAUGUUUCUGGGUGAUUUUAAUGUUUCCCUUCCGAUAACAGCGGCCAGGAAAUGACUGUUCCUCUCCACCUGGUCCUGCUAUGCUGUAGGGUGGUCACUGACAGCUGCCCCUACUUACUUGGGUGCAUUUCUGACCUCACGGAGCCUUGAGCUUCAGCCCGCUGGCCAUGCACCCAGUGUCACCAGGUGACUGCUGCAGGACUAAGCCAUUCCCUCCCCUGGGGACCUUCGGGCUGUGGUUCUUUGGUGGUCACUCUGUGCUGCCUUUGUGCUGUCCCCAUCUCUUAGUCCCUAUGCACCCCUCAGCAAGAGGGGUCCUCAGCAAGAGCAGAGCCACUGUCACACCCCGUUUUGCACACAUCUGAGGGAAUAUUAUUGUCAUCAUGACUAGGGACACGGCAUCAGAAUGCCCAGUCCUUUAUGUAAAUAAAGCAGAUGUCUCUGGCUGCGUGUGGUGCAGGUUAUACCACUUCGGGCCAUGGGUGUGUCACUGUUGGCCAGGGACAGUAGAAUGAGAAGGUCACCUGGGUUUCUGGCCUUACUAUGUGUGUGCGCGAGGUACCUGCCUGUCCUCGCCCAGCUCUACCCCAGGCAGGGACGCUGAGUACCACUGAGGUCAGCCUUGGUGGGUUUGACAGUUGUCCACAGCCAGGACCUUUGUAGAGAGGAGGCCUGGCCCCUGAGGAGGCGCAGAGCAUAGCAUUCAGUUGGUGCAGAGAGGACUUUGCCCAGGCCUUAGGCCUGGCUUGGUUAGUUCUUUAUCACAUGCCUUAAGAGUCCACGCCUGUUGGAGGCUGGUUUUUAUGGUUGGUUGUUUUUUUGUCUUUUUGACACACAGUCUCGCUAUGCAGUUCAGGCUGGCCUCAAACUCACAAAGAUCCUCCUGCCUCAGCCUCCCAAUUGCCGGGAUUACAGGAGUGCACCACCACACCCAGCUGGAGGCUGUUUCAAAUUGAGCCAUCAGCACCCACCGUUUCUACAGGGGUUUCAGGCGCACGGCCCAGGACUCAUCUGCUGUGAGCCUUUUGGCAAAUCACUCCCCACUGGGGGCCUCGGUUCAGUAAAGUUGGGUCAGUGGCAGUGCAGAGGACUCCCACCGACGGGCACUUCUGAGGGCGUGGUGAGGGAUCCCAUGAAACACCGAGAUGGGCCCUGGGCCUGCGUGUAUCCUAGGCACCAUGUUCUGGGUGUGACGUUCAUUAUUUCAGUCUGUGAGAUUCUCUGGGUGCUGCAGUUGGCAAAGUCCGAGGGUCUUCACAGACACCAUUGUCCCCUGAGCCACCAAAACCAGUCACCAUGCUGGAGCUGCUACAGGCUGCUGGGUCUUGCCCUCGGGUACAGUGAGCAGUUACCCCAGCCUGUGCCUGCCGGGCUAGAGGAAGAAUGCAUGACAAUUGCCUAAAUCACCUCAGUGUCAAAUGUGGUAUGAAAAACAGCAUCACUGGUAUUUCUGGACAAGACCUCUGAGGGCCAGGUCAGGACUCCCCAUCCUGCUUGGGAUGUUUUUCCUAUGUGCAGAGCCUUGGCUCCGGUGCAGCUGCCCUGGGCACUGCCAGGUCCGCCCUUGGGGCACCUGAGUCCUCGUGUAGCUGUGGGCCCCUGUGCCAAGGUCCCUGAGGAGCUCUCAAAGUUGUCGUUUAGUGGUUUAGUUUCAGUAGGACCUUGACUGGGUGUCCGACCUUUUGGCUGGCCUGAGCUGCAGUGAGUUAAGGGGAAUUGUCUUAGGCUGCAUAUAAGACAUGAUUAAUGUACAUAAGCAACAAAUCUUCCUUUUUAGAAAUAGUCUUACUGCAUUUUUUACUUAAAUUUUUUAUUUUUGCUUUUUUUUUUUUUUUGGUACUGGGUAUCGAACUCACAACCUCACACUUACCAGGCAAGCGCUUGAGCCACUGAGCUAAAUCCCCAGCCCCUUGUUUACAUUUUUUUUUUUUUUUUGUCUUUUUCAUUUUUAUGGGUACCAGGGAUCAAACUCACGACUGCCUGCUUGGAAGGCAGGCGCUUAUGCCGCUGAGCUAAAUCCCCAGCCCCUGUUUACAUUUUAUAAAAGGACAAGGGCUGGGGGUUAUAGCUUAGCAGCACAGCGCCUACCUGGCAAGUGUGAGAUUGAGUUUGAUUCCUGGUACCAAAAAAGGGCAAGCACCCAUGGGCCACUGGAGGCCACCCCUACAGUCAGAGGUCCCAGAGCAAGUGGUGACUGAUUGCAGCCCUAAGAAUCCUCACAGGAUGCAGAUCGAGGGUCCAGAGCCCAGCCGUUCCUUACUGUCAGUCCCAGUGUCCUGAGUCCUCCAGUUGGGCAGGGGCAUCCCAGGGUGGAAGAGCACCUGCAUCCUUGUCCUCUUAGCUCUGCUGAAGUUGUACUGAGGUGACUUGGUACCUGUGACACUGUGACAACUGCUUCAUUGAUUCUCCCACACGGUAAUGGGCUCUGCCUGGCGUCCCCGGGGUAAUGGGGGACACCCACACUGCUCAGGAACUCUAGGAAUGCUCUCCACCUGUCCCCUGCUUGGCUCCUGCUCCUUCCCCAGGGCCUAGGCACAGUGACAGUGACUUGUGUGCUCUAGAGAACACACGCAUGUUUGAAGUUGGCUGCAGUGUGUCUGUCUGGUUGGUGACUUUGUUCCUCUGGAUUAUGAGAUGAUGAUCAAACUCACGACUUAGUUUGCCAAGCAGGCGCUUACACCACUGAGCUAAAUUCCCUGCCCAAGAGUCCCAUCUUUUAAAGGAAAUAGCACCUUCUGUGGUGAGAAUUGAUCAUGAAAUCUGAGGGUGUUUGUACGUGUUAAGAUCACUGCAGGGCACCAACGCGUGUAUCAGAGGAAGUGUAAAAAGGAACUGCAGCACUCGGGAGAUUGAGGCAGGAGGGUCACUGGACUACGAAGCGAGUUCCAGGCUGCCUGAACUGUAUAGUGAGACCCUGUCUCCAGAAGACAAAGAAAGAAAAAAGGAACUACAGCAUGGUUCCAAAUAGGAGUUUGAGCUUUUCCCUUUGUCCACUAGAGGAUGUAACCUUCCACCACACUGCUUUUUGGUAACCUGCUAGACAGUGUGCCUUUGAUAUUUUUUUUUGCUUGAAAAAAAAAAAAAGAAAUUCAAGACCUUUUUUCACCAGAAAGUUCUGCAGCAGAUUCAUCUGCAGGGUGGGGCUGCUGAGGAAUCCGGCAGCAGGUUCCAGUUGUGCUCAGCUCCUGGGAAGUGCGCACCAGAUCAAGAAACAGCCGUAGCCAGUCUGGGCACAGGCACUUUGGGACAAGAGCACGUUCUAUUUCAUCGCUGGGCAGGGCCCCUCCUGACUGGUGCCUUAGUCACCAGAGGGUUUUCCUGCUGAGGAAUCCGGGACUGUACAUAGCAGCAUGUGAAGUCCCCGCCUGCGGGCUAAGGCUGCAGUGUCUCCGGCUGAGAAGGGCGCUCCUAUCUGAAACUGCAAGGUGCAUAUCUGGAUGAGCAAAGUUCACACAGAGCCUCCAGCCACUGACUUCCCAUUAGGAAGGUGCUGUUGAAUAAGCAAGCAAGUAAGGACGCUCUGUCUUUUUUGGAGCCGGGCUCAGCUUUCUGGUGGAUCAAACAAGUGUUUCAUUGAGCCCUCAUUGCUGGCCGCUCAGAUGACAGACUGAGCAAAAUAGCCAUGCUGGCUGCCCUCAAGAAGGAACCACUGUUCCUGCACAGAAAAGACACAAAGGAAGUCAGAAUGUGGAGGAAAGGAAAGCAAGCAGGCUGGGAGGAGCAGUUUCAGAUAGCGUGACCAGCCAACACCCAGGGAGGCGACCUGCAGCACGAUUGUAAAGUCAGGAAACAAGGCUUAAGACACAGAGGAAGGACACUGCAGAGGGGCAGCCCGUGCACUGGGCCAUCGACACAGAGGGCUUUGGCGGGUGUUGGGGACAGUGGUAGGGUACUGAGUGGGUCCUGGGUCCUUCCAUGGAAGACAUGACCUCUGGGCGGGGUUGGAGCCCCUACUCCUGAGAAGCGGGACGUGGGAAACGGCUUGUGCAUGUGACAGGGGACAUUCCCGGGACAGCUGAUGCCGCAUCCCAGCCUCGGCCUUAGUACUGUGUCCACGAAGCCAGAGCCCCCAUCUCCCUCGUAGAGGGCAGCCUGUGUCUUGUCACCAUCUUGUCCAUUUCUACCUUGAAGGCAGCCCUUGCAAUGGGAACACUGCACACUUCGUUUUUCUUUUCUUUUCUUUUUUUUUUUUUUUUUUUGUCUUUUUCGUUUUUAUCGGUACCAGGGAUCGAACUCAGGACCGCCUGCUUGCAAGGCAGGUGCUUAUGCCGCUGAGCUAAAUCCCCAGCCCCACACACUUCGUUUUUCAACAAAGAAUAGAUUUGUUUCACUGAAGGCAUUAUUUAAAUUGCCAACAGAAAAACUAUAAAUAGUGUGUUCUAUAAUCUUCAUAAGGGGAAGCCUGUGUGAGCUCUACAUGGUUCACAGAAAGCAGUUAUUUGUUCUGUUUAUCUUCCGAGAUCAACUGUGCAGCUAUGGCAGGAAACUAGUUCUGUUAUUGCAAAUGUACUUAAAGUAGAUCUGAGUUAGUCCUUGGGAGGUCGCUUGUCUCCAGACAGUUGGCUGUGGACAGUUAUGUAAUAGUUACAUAACGCGCUCAGACCUCAGCUACUGCCGGCAAAGCCUCUCCACUAUCGCACUAAGUCAGCACAAGACUCCUGUAAACCCCUUCUUACCCAAACGAAGGCCUGGAUUUUCAGCAUUAGCUCCUAGAGGGUCACUUGGUUAGCAGGGCUGUUCCUGUCCCUUGGCUUUCUCAGGUCAGAUCUGUGACAAGAACCUACAGGAAAGGGCUGGAGAUUUAGCACGGUGACAAAAGUGUCUGCCUGGCAAGUGCAAAAUCUUGAGUUUGAUCCUUGGUAUCAAAAAAAAAAACAAAAAAAAAAAAACCCUGCAGGAAAACUUGGGGGAUUUUUUUGGAUUGAACCCAUGGCCUUCACACUGAGCUAUAGCCCCAGCUCUUUUUAAAUUUUGACACAGGGAGCCAGGCAUAGUGACACACACCUGUAAUCCCAGCACUCUGGAGGCUGAGGCAGGAGGACUGUUGUGAGUUCAAGACCCACCUGGGCUACCUAGUGAGUUCAAGGUUAGGCUGAACUGUAUUGUGAGACCCUGCCUCAAAACCCAAAAAAUUUUUUAAAAUUUCUGAGUCAGGGUCUGAGCUGGGCUUGAACUUAAGUUAUGCUUCAGCCUCUCUGAGUGCUGAGAUGACAGACAGAUACAGACUGUACCACAAUGUCAGCAGUUGUCAUCUUACAUGGAAAAGCUACGGGCAAGGGGUUGGGGAUUUAGCUUGGUGGUAUAAGUGCCUGCCUUGCAAGCGCGUGGUCGUGAGUUUGAUCCCUGGUACUGGUAAAAAAAAAAGAAAAACUAUGGGCAGAGGCUGGUUUCAGGCGCCACCACCGCUGGACCCUCUUCACCCUUCUGCAAGUUAACAGGGAAGAUAAGGAGAGCCCAGAGUGAAAUACAGGCUUUAUUUCCCCGGACUCGCCAUGUGCUUUGUUCCUGAUUUUUUCCCAGCAGCUCCUUCUGACCUUGUGAAGGGCCCAUUGGCCGGCCGCCUUUUGACUCAUCCUGGCCCUCGCCUGCAGACUUCCUCUCUGGUGGCUUCAGACCUGGCUCCCCGGCCAGCCUGCCUCUGCUCCCCCACGCUUCGAGGACACCAACCGCAGCCCCCCACCACCACCACGGCCCCUUUCUGUUGAAAUUGACUUUCAGAGUUCACUUGUGAUGCAGGCUCAGGGCUUUACCCACCGCCCCCGCAGCAGCGCACCUUUUCUGGAGUCCCUCCCUCCUAUCCCCUUUGUCACUUUGCUUUUUCCUUUGGCUUUGAGCUCUUGCUGACUCCUUCCCACACUUCCCAGUGGCCUCACAGCAAGGCCAGUCACAUUAAGUAAUCUGUCCCAGUGUUUUAAGAAGUGCAUGGAAAGUUUUCCACAGUUUCACUAUGAGUAUAAGGGGAACUGCCCUAGCACACCAAGUCCCAGGUUCAUUUUAUUAAAGUUUGAAACAGGAUUUCACAAAGUUAGCUAGACUGGAUUCCAACUCAAAAUCCUCCUGCUUCAGCCUCCCAAUGUAUGGGAUUACAGGCACGCACCAUUACACCAGCCAGGCCAGUCUUUUGCAGUGCCUUAUUUGGACCAGGCAGAGCCACUGCCUGAGUUAAACCUCUGCCUAGGAGGUCCAUCUUGUGUUUCGGGUCUACUGCGCAGAGGAAUCUGAGAUUCCUUGUUAGUCAGGUUGGGUUAGUGCCUGAAAGGAUCUAUUUCUCACAGUCUCCCAGGACAGUCUCACUGAAGGCAGCCCUGUGGCUUUGGACAGGUUGGACACCAGCCGUCCUGACCACUGGUCUACUGAGGUGCACAUAGACGCAGUUCCCCAUGCCAGUCACAGUUCCUGGUUCUCUGCUCCCCAGGGCUUGUGUCCUGCGCAAGGGUCUUGCUAUGCAGUUCGGGCUGACUUUGAACUCACUAUGUAGUUGAGCCUGGCCUUGAAUUUGUGGUGAUUCUCCUGCUUCAGCCUCCCAAAUGCUGGGAUUACAGGUUUGUGUCACCAUGC
This is a long non-coding RNA of Cavia porcellus (domestic guinea pig), 7557 nucleotides long. RefSeq lists it as uncharacterized. The record is from RefSeq and is a predicted model, not a curated record. NCBI's taxonomy places the organism in Eukaryota, Metazoa, Chordata, Mammalia, Rodentia, Caviidae. The transcript is spliced from 3 exons.